CCUACGGGAGGCAGCAGUAAGGAAUAUUGGACAAUGCUCGCAAGAGUGAUCCAGCCAUGCCGCGUGCAGGAAGAAUGCCCUAUGGGUAGUAAACUGCUUUUGAACUAGAGAAAACCCCAGUACGUGUACUGGGCUGAUAGUAUAGUUAGAAUAAGCAUCGGCUAACUUCGUGCCAGCAGCCGCGGUAAGACGAAGGAUGCAAGCGUUAUCCGGAUUCAUUGGGUUUAAAGGGAGCGUAGGUGGACUUAUAAGUCAGUGGUGAAAUCUCCGAGCUUAACUCGGAAAUUGCCAUUGAUACUGUAGGUCUUGAGUACAGUUGCUGUGGGCGGAAUAUGACAUGUAGUGGUGAAAUACAUAGAGAUGUCAUAGAACACCGAUUGCGAAGGCAGCUCACAAAGCUGUAACUGACACUGAGGCUCGAAAGUGCGGGGAUCAAACAGGAUUAGAUACCCUGGUAGUCCGCACCGUAAACGAUGAUUACUCGCUGCUAGGGGGCAACCUUUAGUGGCUUAGCGAAAGCGAUAAGUAAUCCACCUGGGAGUACGCCGGCAACGGUGAAACGUCAAAGUAGUAGUAGGACGUUCGAGAGAGCGACGGAGGCACGACGGGAGGGUUAGAGG
This 620-nucleotide ribosomal RNA is filed under the name uncultured bacterium. RNAcentral's name for it is "bacterial SSU rRNA". It matches the Rfam family "Bacterial small subunit ribosomal RNA", at positions 338 to 1245 of the family's 1533-position model. The record is from RNAcentral.